CAAUAGCGUAUAUUAAAGUUGUUGCAGUUAAAAAGCUCGUAGUUGGAUUUUGGCGUGUUUGCAAUGGUCUGCCGUGAGGUAUGCACUGUUGUGGGCACGCUUCUUCUCAAAGACUGCGUGUGCUCUUAAUUGAGUGUGCGUAGGGUUUGGGACUUUUACUGUGAGAAAAUUAGAGUGUUUAAAGCAGGCGUUUGCUUGAAUAUUGCAGCAUGGAAUAAUGGAAUAGGAUCACGAUCUUAUUUUGUUGGUUUCUAGGAUCGAGAUAAUGAUUAAUAGGGAUAGUUGGGGACAUUAAUAUUUAAUUGUCAGAGGUGAAAUUCUUGGAUUUAUGAAAGAUUAACUUCUGCGAAAGCAUUUGUCAAGGAUGUUUUCGUUAAUCAAGAACGAAAGUUAGGGGAUCGAAGACGAUCAGAUACCAU
This 419-nucleotide ribosomal RNA is filed under the name uncultured eukaryote. RNAcentral describes it as "SSU rRNA". It matches the Rfam family "Eukaryotic small subunit ribosomal RNA", at positions 592 to 1018 of the family's 1831-position model. The record is from RNAcentral.